UGAGUUUCAGGUGUGCAACAUAGUGAUUUGACACAUAAUUGUCCUUUUUAGUAUCUAAGAACAGCAACUUUUCUAAAUCGUUAUUUUGUGGACUGCUAACCUGUCAAGUCUCCGUUUAUAUUACUGUUACUGAUUUUUCAGUUUUUUUGUUUAACUAUUCUUUUCAGGUGCUCUGUCUUUAAUUUUUUUAUCAUUUUGGAAUUUACUUUCAUACAGAUGGUUUUCCUCCAAUGUGGAUGACUCAGGUGCAUGGCCCUAUUUCUCUUUGAGGAUCCCUGUUCACUUCCAGGUGGUGUAUCCUCUAGGCACUGGGGAGGGGGGGAGCAGGACACCUCCUGGGUAUAAUGAUGUCUGCUUCCCACCCUCCAGGUAGCAGUGAGUCACCUGGGCCACUAACUUGAUUUUCUGAAUGUAGAGCUCUUUCUGUAAAAUGUCUGUGUUAAAACUUCUGAGUUUUAAUUUUGCUGCAGGUUUUCCUUUGCACAUGUUUUAAACUUCCUUAUGUUUCUCCAUCUGUCUGAUCUCAACUGACUUGCAUUUUCUAGAAAUUCUCACAAAAUUCUGAUCCACUAAUGACAUAUUUUGUUGUUUUCCAGUACAGUUGUAAAUUUAUUCUUCAAAAGUAUUUUUUAAAAUUACUUUAAGGUGCCUUGAGAGGCAGAGGAGGUGAACACUGUAUUUAAUCUGCAGCCUUGGGCCAAAUAUAAAACAAGCUUAUUUAUAACAAGGAUACAAACAGUCUUAUUGUGCAGAAGACUGUACUAGUCUCAAUUUGUCAUCUUCAGUGUCACUCCAUUUUCAAGUGAGGUCUCCCUCUUGCCUACCACAACUCCUUCCUCAUUGUUUGUUUGUAUUUUACUUGGAAACAGGAAGGAGAAUUAUUUAUCGAACAUUCUUUUACCUGUGUGGAUCCAUCCAACAUGUACUUGACAACUGUGCCUUGCCUGGUGAUGACUCUCGACAUCUCCUGCUCCCCAGGUGGGAUGACCGUCUUAUAGAACUCAUAGUGCUUCACCUUCUGGGGGUAGCUCUGCCGGACCAUGAUGUCCCAAAUGGGCUCCUCAUCCACAGCACUCUGAUCUGAAAAAAAAAAAAAAGCAAGCCUUAAUGAGAACUGGGCAACACCAUGUGGCUGGUGUUUUAUCUUGUUGCUUAAUUGUUCUCAUUCUUCUGUCCACAGUUGACUGAUAGGGCAGUUUCCAUGUCAUGACAGGUAAUGCAGAGAACUGGUUCUUGUCUACCUUUGCUAUAGUCAGUGUAAUAAAUAAGGUCACGUAUAGGUACUUAGUAGGUCCCUUCCCUAUGUACAACCCAUUCUUUCUCAUGAAUUCUAGGACACCUCUGGCAAAAUUAGGAAGGAGGCAGAGCUUUGCUGUCUCAGUGGUUCCCUUUUCUCCCUGUUGGUACUUUCCUCUUGCUCUUGACUAAGCUCUUGUCCCCGGAUGUACAACGCCCUCCUGGUGUCCCCUGGUGGCCUAGAGCAUCAGGAGAAGUCACUCACUUCGGGCUUACCCUUUCUAAAUUAUUCAUCAUCUUUCAGAGCUAACAUAAUCCCCUCAUAUCAACCAAGUCCAGAUUUUUCUCAGCAUUCUACUCAGCUGGCCAUCAAGGAGAGAAGCACCUGCUCACUUCAACAAACUUUUAAGGAAGACACUCACUCUCCAGGGCUUUCAGAUGAAGGCAUGGAGGCUUGGAAGGCUCUUAGCUUCUCCAAGGUCACACAGAUACACUUUUCCAAUAUGGUAUACAUAAGGAGGUUGUGAUAAAGAGGAUAUUUGGCUGUGAAAAAAUAUCAAGAUCCACUGAUACAAUACAAUUUUUAUAGAUGAGGACAUAUGAUCCAGCAAUACCCUUUGUAGAGGCAGGAAGAUGGCCCCACAAUAGUUGUCAAGAGCACUGGCUUUGCCAUCACUGGACCAAGAAUGGACUUUUAGCUCUGCCACUUCGGAGGCAAUUCCUCCUCACUUCCAAAGACCCAGUUCAUAUGCUACUGCCACUGGGUCUGUGAAGGCUUUCUCAGAGCAAGAAAUCUGUAAGCUGAGACCUCAAGGAUGAGAGGAAGUUUAAUUGCUGCACAGAAUGACUUCAAGUGCUGGCUCAGAAACAAACCAAAUACAAGAUGAAAAGACAAAACCUCAGAGAAAGCAAAAAUACUAACAAAUUUAAUGGGCCCUCUAACUCACUAGAGUACUGCAACAUUUUGUACAAGGUAUAAUCCAUCACAUUGGGCAGGAAGCAUGUGGUUUUCCCAGGUAAUGCUGGAGAUAUUAAAUAGUGUUAUCAGGAAGUUUCAUGGUGUGUAAUCAAAGGAUAUCCACUUGGAGCUCCAACUACCAGAGAGUGUCCCAGCUAACCUCUCACCCGGCCCAUGCCCUGCAGGAGGUUAUAACAGAAGAAGGUGAAGUCUGAGAAUGCAGUGGGCCCAUCACCACCCCACCUAUCGUGAUCACUCAUGGUUCGAGGCCAUGAGACCCCUCGAUGGGGUUACUAUCUUGUUUUCCUCAUAAGACUCUUGAGGGAGAGACUGGUCAAGAGAAGGUUUUGUAAGAGUUGCAAUGGGAGGGAGACUGAGCGGCCACUUGGCUGUGGAGAGCUGCGUGCACUGACGACCCCCACCUGCCAACCUGGAAUGACCCGCGCUGUUUGAAAAGCACCAGCGGCCAUUUUAUUUCAGGUCAGAUAAUAGUUCCAGGCACCGCCAGGGACCUAUGACCCCGAC
Long non-coding RNA from Suricata suricatta (meerkat), 2719 nucleotides. RefSeq lists it as uncharacterized. The record is from RefSeq and is a predicted model, not a curated record. The transcript is spliced from 9 exons. NCBI's taxonomy places the organism in Eukaryota, Metazoa, Chordata, Mammalia, Carnivora, Herpestidae.